ACGCUGGCGGCGUGCCUAAUACAUGCAAGUAGAACGCACAGGAUGCACCGUAGUUUACUACACCGUAUUCUGUGAGUUGCGAACGGGUGAGUAACGCGUAGGAACCUGCCUGGUAGUGGGGGAUAACUAUUGGAAACGAUAGCUAAUACCGCAUAAGAACAUUUACUGCAUGGUAGAUGUUUAAAAGGUGCAAAAGCAUCACUACCAGAUGGACCUGCGUUGUAUUAGCUAGUUGGUGAGGUAACGGCUCACCAAGGCAACGAUACAUAGCCGACCUGAGAGGGUGAUCGGCCACACUGGGACUGAGACACGGCCCAGACUCCUACGGGAGGCAGCAGUAGGGAAUCUUCGGCAAUGGGGGGAACCCUGACCGAGCAACGCCGCGUGAGUGAAGAAGGUUUUCGGAUCGUAAAGCUCUGUUGUUAAGGAAGAACGUGUGUGAGAGUGGAAAGUUCACACAGUGACGGUACUUAACCAGAAAGGGACGGCUAACUACGUGCCAGCAGCCGCGGUAAUACGUAGGUCCCGAGCGUUGUCCGGAUUUAUUGGGCGUAAAGCGAGCGCAGGCGGUUAGAUAAGUCUGAAGUGAAAGGCAGUGGCUCAACCAUUGUAGGCUUUGGAAACUGUUUAACUUGAGUGCAGAAGGGGAGAGUGGAAUUCCAUGUGUAGCGGUGAAAUGCGUAGAUAUAUGGAGGAACACCGGUGGCGAAAGCGGCUCUCUGGUCUGUAACUGACGCUGAGGCUCGAAAGCGUGGGGAGCGAACAGGAUUAGAUACCCUGGUAGUCCACGCCGUAAACGAUGAGUGCUAGGUGUUAGGUCCUUUCCGGGACUUAGUGCCGCAGCUAACGCAUUAAGCACUCCGCCUGGGGAGUACGACCGCAAGGUUGAAACUCAAAGGAAUUGACGGGGGCCCGCACAAGCGG
Molecule: ribosomal RNA, 924 nt
Filed under: uncultured bacterium
Lineage: Bacteria
Description: bacterial SSU rRNA
Rfam family: Bacterial small subunit ribosomal RNA
Source: RNAcentral